UUUAGUUGUUGGAUAGUUGGUCGCUGUGCUGAAAAUCUUCCAGAACAUAUUCCUGACCUACGCUCCUAAGCACAGAUCUAGGAUCAGCUCAUCCUCAUCAAAUCCAAACCAGGACGUUUAGAAUUCACAAGGGGAACACUGACCUCAGACCAGCGUUUAAACCCCACGUCUUCCUGCCUAGACACUGACUCUCUGUCCAGAGUUCCUCUGUGCUCCAGCCGUAUAUCCAUCCAGCCAUGGGUCUGAUGAGCGAGGACAUGGAGUGCUGCGUCUGCCUCCAGCCCUACUCUCGUAGGGAGAAGAUCCCUCGGAUGCUCCACUGUAAGCACACAUUCUGUGGGCUGUGCUUGCAGGCGAUGUCCAGGCUCCAGAGCGGCCUACUGACAGUAUGCUGCCCCCUGUGCCGUUGGAUCACCUGCACCGAGCCCAGCCUCACCGUGUCGGGGUCGCUGUGGGUUAACACUGAGAUCUGGGACCAGAUACUAGACACACACCAGGAAGAGGAGGAGGAGGAGGAGGAAGAGGAGGAAGAGUGAAAGGAAGCUAACAGACAGACACAGACCACUACACAGUACACAUGGUCUCCAUCAAAGCAUUGUGGCCUGAGGAUCAAACUACAGAAUUUCCUGAGGAGGAUGAAGCACAAUGUACUGUAAACCGAGAAGAAGAAGAGCAGAGAAGAAGAAGACUGUAUUUGACCAUUUCAGAGUAGGAGAUACUCAUUGAGUAAUGAAGAUAAUUCACCAAACAGGACCGACCGGUGAUUUUCCAUAAUGAAGCAAGAUUGAACCAAUUAUUAAUAUGCUUUGGGUUUGAUUGACUUUGGGUAUGUGUAAUGUUCUCAGUCAACUUACCUGGUAAAAUAAGGAUUCAAUUAUAAUAUUAAUAAUAAAGGAUGGAUUGGGGGAGGGAAUAAAAAAUAAGAUUUUAAAUGGAUUGAGGAUGAAAGAAAGAUCAAGGAAGUUAUGGAAGGAAGGAAGUUAUGGAAGGAAGGAAGUUAUGGAAGGACGUAAGGAAGGAAGUUAAGGAAGGAAGGAAGUUAUGGAAGGACGGAAGGAAGGAAGUUAUGGAAAGACGGAAGGAAGGAAGUUAUGGAAGGACGGAAGGAAGGAUGUUAUGGAAGGAAGUUAUGGAAGGAAGGAAGUUAUGGAAGGAAGGAAGUAAGUUAAGGAAGGAAGUUAUGGAAGGAAGGAAGGAAGUUAUGGAAGGAAGGAAGGAAGUUAUGGAAGGAAGGAAGGAAGUUAUGGAAGUUAUGGAAGGAAGGAAGUUAUGGACGGACGGACAGACAGAUAGAUGGGUGAAGGUUAGAGACUGUAUGCUGUACAAUGUGUGCCGGUUACAAUACAAUAUACUGUGAACUAUAUUUAUAAUAGAUGUUUAAAGAUUUGAUAAAAGGUGUAUUACUGCGUGAAGAGAAGUAGAUGUUUAGUAUUUUUUAUUACAUCAUUUUAGAACAGUUUAAUAUUGCAGUGUUGUUUUUUAUGUGUUUUUUAUUUAUGUGUUUUUAUGUUGUUUAAAAAAAAUAAGUAAUGUAAUUGUCUGCAUCAUUUCCAAUCCCCCAUAUAAGGGAAGUGGGAUUUGUUUAUCCUCAUUUGACAUGUUUUAUUUAUCUGUUCUGUUUGAAGAGCAUG
Molecule: long non-coding RNA, 1631 nt
Organism: Salvelinus fontinalis (brook trout)
Lineage: Eukaryota; Metazoa; Chordata; Actinopteri; Salmoniformes; Salmonidae
Exons: 3
Source: RefSeq, a predicted model, not a curated record